GACGAACGCUGGCGGCGUGCUUAACACAUGCAAGUCGAACGGAAAGGCCUCUUUCGGGGGGUACUCGAGUGGCGAACGGGUGAGUAAUGCGUAGGUAACCUGCCCUUUGCGUUGGGAUAACUUCAGGAAACUGCGCCUAUUACCGGAUAGACGCUCGUGCUGCAUGGGGGGGGUUUGAGAGUUUCGGCGGUCGGGGGUGGGCUGGCGGGUUAUCCGCUUGUUGGUGGGGUGGUGGCUUACCAAGGCCUUUACGGGUAGCCGGACUGAGAGGGUGACCGGCCACAUUGGGUCUGAGAUAAGGCCCAGGCUGCUAAGAGAGGCCGCAGUGGGGAAUAUUGCACAAGGGGUGGAGGGCGGAUGAAGAAGGGCCGUGUGCGGUAUAACGGUCUUGGUGGUGUAGACCGCCUUCGCGCAUAAAGAAGCACUGUGUGACGGUAGUGGGUAAAGAAGCACCGGCUAACUACGUG
RNAcentral lists this ribosomal RNA (467 nucleotides) under uncultured bacterium. RNAcentral's name for it is "partial 16S ribosomal RNA". It matches the Rfam family "Bacterial small subunit ribosomal RNA", at positions 28 to 507 of the family's 1533-position model. The record is from RNAcentral.